Molecule: ribosomal RNA, 435 nt
Filed under: uncultured bacterium
Lineage: Bacteria
Description: bacterial SSU rRNA
Rfam family: Bacterial small subunit ribosomal RNA
Source: RNAcentral
GAACGAGUUCCAGCUGGUGGCAACACCGGGCGAAGACCUAGUGGCGAACGGGUGAGUAACACGUGAGCAACCUGCCCCGAAGACCGGGAUAACACCGGGAAACCGGUGCUAAUACCGGAUGCCCCCACGAGAUCGCAUGGUCUUGUGAGGAAAUGGAUUCCGCUUCGGGAGGGGCUCGCGACCUAUCAGUUUGUUGGUGGGGUAACGGCCUACCAAGACGUCGACGGGUAGCUGGUCUGAGAGGACGAUCAGCCACACUGGGACUGAGACACGGCCCAGACUCCUACGGGAGGCAGCAGUAGGGAAUCUUGCGCAAUGGGCGAAAGCCUGACGCAGCAACGCCGCGUGAGGGACGAAUGCUUUCUGAGUUGUAAACCUCUUUCAGCAGGGACGAUUGUGACGGUACCUGCAGAAGAAGCACCGUCCAACUACGUG